Molecule: long non-coding RNA, 726 nt
Organism: Mauremys mutica (yellowpond turtle)
Lineage: Eukaryota; Metazoa; Chordata; Testudines; Geoemydidae
Exons: 4
Source: RefSeq, a predicted model, not a curated record
AGUGUGAUAGUCCUGUAGUAGCCUGUGUCUAAUAAAGCAACUAGAAGACAGAAGAAGGCUGUAAACCCAGGAAUUGGAGGGCUGAUAUCCUCAAUUUAAGUUGAGUGCUCAUGAACUGGUCUGACUGAAAACACGCUGAGGAAGACCAGAAUUUCUUAUCUAGAUCACCUCUUCCAGCUGGAUGAUGCGUCUGUCUGUCUGUCUGUCUCAUUUCUCUUACUAUCUAACACCGAGAAGCAAAUACAGAAGAGAGGAAAAAUGCAGUAUGUUAUCCCAUGUACAACACAGGCACAACACAGCAGAGCUGACACUAGGAAUGGAAACUUUAAGAUCCCAGAUAUUAGAAUAGGUUUCUGUGGGAUCCAGAGGUGGAAGACAGACACCUCUGCUCACUUGAAUACAAUAGAAGGAGAGCCACACAUGAAGAGUCUCUCUGAUUGCAGCUAAUCCCCCGCCCCUCCGGAUUACCUGAGAAAUGAGAAUAAAUUACUUCACUUCAGAAAGAAAAGAAAAAAGAAAACCUCAUCAGGGCUUCAAGUCACAUUAAUUUUAAAAUAUGUUGUGAGAAAAGAUGUAGUUAGUGAUAAAUUGACUAUGUGGGUGGAUUUUACUCUAAAUCCACUCUGAAAGGAUUUCUAUAUGAUUUAUUAACAUAGCAAAUAUUUUAAAAUGGUAAUGUAUGGCCUGACUGUACAUGCAAUUGAAACAAAUCAUUAUAAAUUCUAA